RNAcentral lists this ribosomal RNA (484 nucleotides) under uncultured bacterium. Its description in RNAcentral is "partial 16S ribosomal RNA". It matches the Rfam family "Bacterial small subunit ribosomal RNA", at positions 30 to 507 of the family's 1533-position model. The record is from RNAcentral.
AUUGAACGCUGGCGGCAGGCCUAACACAUGCAAGUCGAGCGGAUGAAGGGAGCUUGCUCCUGGAUUCAGCGGCGGACGGGUGAGUAAUGCCUAGGAAUCUGCCUGGUAGUGGGGGAUAACGUCCGGAAACGGGCGCUAAUACCGCAUACGUCCUGAGGGAGAAAGUGGGGGAUCUUCGGACCUCACGCUAUCAGAUGAGCCUAGGUCGGAUUAGCUAGUUGGUGGGGUAAAGGCCUACCAAGGCGACGAUCCGUAACUGGUCUGAGAGGAUGAUCAGUCACACUGGAACUGAGACACGGUCCAGACUCCUACGGGAGGCAGCAGUGGGGAAUAUGAGACAAUGGGCGAAAGCCUGAUCCAGCCAUGCCGCGUGUGUGAAGAAGGUCUUCGGAUUGUAAAGCACUUUAAGUUGGGAGGAAGGGCAGUAAGUUAAUACCUUGCUGGUUUGACGUUACCAACAGAAUAAGCACCGGCUAACUUCGUG